This 21-nucleotide non-coding RNA is filed under the name Caenorhabditis elegans. Lineage: Eukaryota; Metazoa; Nematoda; Chromadorea; Rhabditida; Rhabditidae. The record is from RNAcentral.
CGCUGCUUCAGAGCUACUGAA